Gossypium arboreum is the source of this 487-nucleotide long non-coding RNA. RefSeq lists it as uncharacterized. The transcript is spliced from 2 exons. NCBI's taxonomy places the organism in Eukaryota, Viridiplantae, Streptophyta, Magnoliopsida, Malvales, Malvaceae. The record is from RefSeq and is a predicted model, not a curated record.
GCAUGGGGUAAUAAAUCAUAAAGAAUAAAAGUUUUGGAAAUAAUGCUUCUAUCCUUUAUUGUUUUAACAAUUUCAUGGACUGGAUUUAUGUUGCUGUUUUCAGCUUUUCUUGUGAUGCCUUGGCAGGUGACCCUGCGUUGAUUGGGCGUAAUAGGCCAUUUCCAGUCACGCACUAAGCUGCAGAGAGGUGGUUGCAUCAUAUGGAGAAGGCAUUAGAGAGCACCCCAUACAUCGAUGCCAAUUCAAAACUCAAAAUGAGGAAAUUUUUUAGGCACACUGCAUUCUUUCUCGUGGCUGGUGAUGAGUUGAAGAAUCAAAACCAACGAGUUCCAUGAGAGCAUGGGGCCAGCAAACCAGCUGCAUCAUAAAUUUACUAACGGGAAUCCUUACGCAGCCAUGGAUGUCGGCUUUCAUUAACCAUGUAUCGUUGUAACUUGUAACAUACACAGUCGUUUUAUAUGAAUAAAUCGUGAACCUUUUACAUUAA